CCUACGGGAGGCAGCAGUGAGGAAUAUUGGUCAAUGGGAGGAAUCCUGAACCAGCCAUGCCGCGUGCAGGACGACGGCUCUACGAGUUGUAAACUGCUUUUGUACCGGGGUAAAAUGCUCUACGAGUAGGGUUUUGAAAGUACGGUACGAAUAAGGAUCGGCUAACUCCGUGCCAGCAGCCGCGGUAAUACGGAGGAUCCGAGCGUUAUCCGGAUUCAUUGGGUUUAAAGGGUGCGUAGGUUGUUUUAUAAGUUAGCGGGGAAAUACCGAUGCUUAACAUCGGGGCUGCCGCUGAUACUGUAGGACUAGAGAUCGGAUGCAGCAGGCGGAAUGUGUAGUGUAGCGGUGAAAUGCAUAGAUAUUACACAGAACACCGAUUGCGAAGGCAGCUUGCUAGGCCGGAUCUGACACUGAUGCACGAAAGCGUGGGGAUCGAACAGGAUUAGAUACCCUAGUAGUC
Molecule: ribosomal RNA, 460 nt
Filed under: uncultured bacterium
Lineage: Bacteria
Description: partial 16S ribosomal RNA
Rfam family: Bacterial small subunit ribosomal RNA
Source: RNAcentral